CCGUCGACGAACGGAGCCACCUCAACUGCAACGGCCGAAUACUACCAGAGAAGCAAGUUCUCAGCAAGACAAUGUUGACUGGCAUCGACCUAGAAAUUCCGUCCAAAAUCUGCAACGCACACCUCACCAUAAUAGGGCAUCAAAUAUCCAAUGCUAUAAUUGCAAAAACUGGGGCCAUUUUUCAAAAGACUGCCUACAGAGAUGCAAUAGGCCAAAUAAUAUUCCUCGUAAUAAAACCUACCAAUCGAGACAAAAUCAGGGAAACUAAGCGAGAGGGCAAGACAGGAGGUUUGUACCUCUAAUACUGAAAAAAACCUCCUUCAUUGGAUUAUCGAUUACAAGUACGACUAAUUUGCCAUUCAUUUCUAUCUUUAUUAAUAAUGUUAUUGUUAAUGCUCGCAUAGAUAUUGGAGCCGAUGACACCACC
Molecule: long non-coding RNA, 427 nt
Filed under: Androctonus crassicauda
Lineage: Eukaryota; Metazoa; Arthropoda; Arachnida; Scorpiones; Buthidae
Source: RNAcentral